Molecule: ribosomal RNA, 578 nt
Filed under: uncultured bacterium
Lineage: Bacteria
Description: bacterial SSU rRNA
Rfam family: Bacterial small subunit ribosomal RNA
Source: RNAcentral
CCAACUCCUACGGGAGGCAGCAGUGGGGAAUCUUCCGCAAUGGACGAAAGUCUGACGGAGCAACGCCGCGUGAGUGAUGACGGCCUUCGGGUUGUAAAGCUCUGUUAAUCGGGACGAAAGGCCUUCUUGCGAAUAGUGAGAAGGAUUGACGGUACCGGAAUAGAAAGCCACGGCUAACUACGUGCCAGCAGCCGCGGUAAUACGUAGGUGGCAAGCGUUGUCCGGAAUUAUUGGGCGUAAAGCGCGCGCAGGCGGAUCAGUCAGUCUGUCUUAAAAGUUCGGGGCUUAACCCCGUGAGGGGAUGGAAACUGCUGAUCUAGAGUAUCGGAGAGGAAAGUGGAAUUCCUAGUGUAGCGGUGAAAUGCGUAGAUAUUAGGAAGAACACCAGUGGCGAAGGCGACUUUCUGGACGAAAACUGACGCUGAGGCGCGAAAGCCAGGGGAGCGAACGGGAUUAGAUACCCCGGUAGUCCUGGCCGUAAACGAUGGGUACUAGGUGUAGGAGGUAUCGACCCCUUCUGUGCCGGAGUUAACGCAAUAAGUACCCCGCCUGGGGAGUACGACCGCAAGGUUGAAACU